Molecule: ribosomal RNA, 110 nt
Filed under: Compostibacillus humi
Lineage: Bacteria; Bacillati; Bacillota; Bacilli; Caryophanales; Bacillaceae
Source: RNAcentral
UGGUGACGAUGGCGGAGAGGUCACACCUGUUCCCAUACCGAACACAGAAGUUAAGCUCUCCAGCGCCGAUAGUAGUUGGGAGUUCCCCCUGCGAGAGUAGGACGUUGCCA